AUUGAACGCUGGCGGCAUGCCUUACACAUGCAAGUCGAACGGCAGCACGGGGGCAACCCUGGUGGCGAGUGGCGAACGGGUGAGUAAUACAUCGGAACGUGCCCAGUCGUGGGGGAUAACGUAGCGAAAGUUACGCUAAUACCGCAUACGAUCUAUGGAUGAAAGCGGGGGAUCGCAAGACCUCGCGCGAUUGGAGCGGCCGAUGGCAGAUUAGGUUGUUGGUGGGGUAAUGGCUUCCCAAGCCUCCGAUCUGUAGCUGGUCUGAGAGGACGAUCAGCCAAACUGGGCCUGAGACACGGCCCAGACUCCUACGGGAGGCAGCAGUGGGGAAUUUUGGACAAUGGGCGCAAGCCUGAUCCAGCAAUGCCGCGUGCAGGACGAAGGCCUUCGGGUUGUAAACUGCUUUUGUACGGAGCGAAAUGGCUCUCACUAAUACUAGGGGCUAAUGACGGUACCGUAAGAAUAAGCACCGGCUAACUACGUGCCAGCAGCCGCCGUAA
RNAcentral lists this ribosomal RNA (500 nucleotides) under uncultured bacterium. RNAcentral's name for it is "partial 16S ribosomal RNA". It matches the Rfam family "Bacterial small subunit ribosomal RNA", at positions 30 to 523 of the family's 1533-position model. The record is from RNAcentral.